RNAcentral lists this ribosomal RNA (766 nucleotides) under Staphylococcus aureus. RNAcentral describes it as "bacterial SSU rRNA". It matches the Rfam family "Bacterial small subunit ribosomal RNA", at positions 28 to 776 of the family's 1533-position model. The record is from RNAcentral. Lineage: Bacteria; Bacillati; Bacillota; Bacilli; Caryophanales; Staphylococcaceae.
GAUGAACGCUGGCGGCGUGCCUAAUACAUGCAAGUCGGGCGAACGGACGAGAAGCUUGCUUCUCUGAUGUUAGCGGCGGACGGGUGAGUAACACGUGGAUAACCUACCUAUAAGACUGGGAUAACUUCGGGAAACCGGAGCUAAUACCGGAUAAUAUUUUGAACCGCAUGGUUCAAAAGUGAAAGACGGUCUUGCUGUCACUUAUAGAUGGAUCCGCGCUGCAUUAGCUAGUUGGUAAGGUAACGGCUUACCAAGGCAACGAUGCAUAGCCGACCUGAGAGGGUGAUCGGCCACACUGGAACUGAGACACGGUCCAGACUCCUACGGGAGGCAGCAGUAGGGAAUCUUCCGCAAUGGGCGAAAGCCUGACGGAGCAACGCCGCGUGAGUGAUGAAGGUCUUCGGAUCGUAAAACUCUGUUAUUAGGGAAGAACAUAUGUGUAAGUAACUGUGCACAUCUUGACGGUACCUAAUCAGAAAGCCACGGCUAACUACGUGCCAGCAGCCGCGGUAAUACGUAGGUGGCAAGCGUUAUCCGGAAUUAUUGGGCGUAAAGCGCGCGUAGGCGGUUUUUUAAGUCUGAUGUGAAAGCCCACGGCUCAACCGUGGAGGGUCAUUGGAAACUGGAAAACUUGAGUGCAGAAGAGGAAAGUGGAAUUCCAUGUGUAGCGGUGAAAUGCGCAGAGAUAUGGAGGAACACCAGUGGCGAAGGCGACUUUCUGGUCUGUAACUGACGCUGAUGUGCGAAAGCGUGGGGAUCAAACAGG